GUGCUCGCUUUGGCAGCACAUAUACUAAAAUUGGAAGGAUACAGAGAAGAUUAGCACAGCCCCUGUGCAAGGAUGACACACAAAUUCGUGAAGCAUUCCAUAUUAAA
Bos indicus x Bos taurus (hybrid cattle) is the source of this 107-nucleotide small nuclear RNA. The record is from Ensembl. NCBI's taxonomy places the organism in Eukaryota, Metazoa, Chordata, Mammalia, Artiodactyla, Bovidae.